Molecule: ribosomal RNA, 292 nt
Filed under: uncultured bacterium
Lineage: Bacteria
Description: partial 16S ribosomal RNA
Rfam family: Archaeal small subunit ribosomal RNA
Source: RNAcentral
GUGCCAGCAGCCGCGGUAAUACCGGCAGCACAAGUGAUGGCCAAUCUUAUUGGGCCUAAAGCGUCCGUAGCUGGCCGAGCAGGUCCGUCGGGAAAUCCACGUGCUCAACGCGUGGGCGUCCGGCGGAAACUGCGUGGCUUGGGACCGGAAGGCGCGACGGGUACGUCCGGGGUAGGAGUGAAAUCCCGUAAUCCUGGACGGACCGCCGAUGGCGAAAGCACGUCGCGAAGACGGAUCCGACAGUGAGGGACGAAGGCUAGGGUCUCGAACCGGAUUAGAAACCCGGUAGUCC